GUGUCAGCCGCCGCGGUAAUACAGAGGGUGCAAGCGUUGUUCGGAAUCACUGGGCGUAAAGCGCGCGCAGGCGGAUGGUUGCGUCCGGAGUGAAAUUUCGCCGCUCAACGGCGAAGCUGCUUUGGAUACGGACCGUCUAGGGACCGGUAGAGGCUGGUAGAAUUGCAGGUGUAGCGGUGGAAUGCGUAGAGAUCUGCAAGAAUACCCGUGGCGAAGGCGGCCAGCUGGGCCGGAUCCGACGCUGAGGCGCGAAAGCGUGGGGAGCAAACAGGAUUAGAAACCCUCGUAGUCC
Molecule: ribosomal RNA, 292 nt
Filed under: uncultured bacterium
Lineage: Bacteria
Description: partial 16S ribosomal RNA
Rfam family: Bacterial small subunit ribosomal RNA
Source: RNAcentral